GGACCCGCACAAGCGGUGGAGCGUGUUCUUUAAUUCGAGGCUAAACGAAGAACCUUACCAGGGUUUGACAUCCUUAGAAUUUCUCCGAAAGGAGAGAGUGCUUUAUUGAACUAAGUGACAGAUGAUGCAUGGCCGUCGUCAGCUCGUGUCGUGAGAUGUUUGGUUAAGUCCAUCAACGAGCGCAACCCUUGCUGUUAGUUGUAUUUUUCUAGCAGGACUGCCCCCGGUAACGGGGAGGAAGGAGGGGAUGAUGUCAGGUCAGUAUUUCUCUUACACCCUGGGCUAGAAACGCGCUACAAUGGCCGGUACAACGGGCAGCGAAGCAGUAAUGCGGAGCCAAUCCCACCAAAACCGGUCCCAGUUCGGAUAGAGGGCUGAAACUCGCCCUCUUGAGUCGGAAUCGCUAGUAAUCGCAGAUCAGCACGCUG
Molecule: ribosomal RNA, 428 nt
Filed under: uncultured bacterium
Lineage: Bacteria
Description: bacterial SSU rRNA
Rfam family: Bacterial small subunit ribosomal RNA
Source: RNAcentral